This is a long non-coding RNA of Pezoporus occidentalis (night parrot), 1132 nucleotides long. RefSeq lists it as uncharacterized. The transcript has 2 exons. The record is from RefSeq and is a predicted model, not a curated record. NCBI's taxonomy places the organism in Eukaryota, Metazoa, Chordata, Aves, Psittaciformes, Psittacidae.
AACUAUGCUGCAUGGAGGAAAGGGCAGAGGGUUAAAAACAAAGAAAGAGACGGAAUAGGAUGAAGCUAAAAAUUAAGCUCAAUGACUCAGAUGGUUGAUGAAGCACAAGAAGUUCUCCAGAAGAAUAUAUUUGAGUAAAAUGAGACUCAAAAUGAGUUUUCCACAAACGCAGAACUACAGAAUGCAAGUUUCCCUUUGUCCAAAGCACACAACAUUUGGCCAUUCAACCAUUCUUUGCAAUAAAUAAGAUUCCAGCUUCAUGUGACUUAAGACUUCUUCAAGAUAGGGAUGCACACUGUAACAUGCCAAUGCUCAAAAUAUGGAAUAAUGACACAAAAAGAGACAAUUAUGCUUUGUGUAAAGGAAUGGAGGAUGGAUGGGCUCAGUUAUGCUGAAGAGUUGAGUAAUGAGAUGAUUAUUUAUCUAUCAAGAUAAACCAAAAUAAGCUACAGCAAAUCAGACUCCCCACUGUGGAAACUGCAGUCUGUGCUCUCAGGUUUUUGUUACUGCCUGGAUUCCCAUUCAAAGCUCGAUCUAACAAAGCCCUGAUGAAACCAGGUUUACAAAGACUUUCCCGUUACAUCAGUUGGGCAGGUCUCAGCAGGCUUGUGACAAAAGUACUAUGAAACCUGUUACAAACGGCGAUGCCAGCCCAAGACCAGCACACACACAGCAUGUGCAGAGCUGCAGUCUGGAAGUCUUUCUAACCAACAGUUGGUUUCUAAAUGCUGCUGAUAGUCUCUUCACCUGCUCCUAUAGGCUCCCAAGUAGCUGGUUCAGGACAUGACUGAAGACUGCUCUUUUCAUCGCAGACUCCUCUAAGCACUCCCUUCUGGAAUGCUGCUGCUGGUACAUUAUUUUUCCCAAACUUGCACUGGGGAAUACCACACCAAGAAACUCCAGUGCAUCUGCGUGCUACAGUAACGACCUGCUGAGAGCCACCCUCACUGAGCUACAGGACCUGAAUGGCAGCCAAGGGGAGGGCUCUCCUGGGAUCCCUGCCUCCUGAAACAAUCACAAACUAGGGAGUGGGAAUCAGCUGAUAGCAAACAAAGAAGAGCAAAGUUAUUGAGCAGGAAAGAGUACUUGACUAAUGAUGAGGUGAGUAAAGUACUGAGGAUUCAUUCCCCUA